Molecule: ribosomal RNA, 251 nt
Filed under: Merluccius merluccius (European hake)
Lineage: Eukaryota; Metazoa; Chordata; Actinopteri; Gadiformes; Merlucciidae
Description: partial 12S ribosomal RNA
Rfam family: Bacterial small subunit ribosomal RNA
Source: RNAcentral
UCCGCCCGGGAACUACGAGCAUUAGCUUAAAACCCAAAGGACUUGGCGGUGCUUUACCCCCCACUAGAGGAGCCUGUUCUAGAACUGAUAACCCCCGUUGAACCUCACCAUCCCUCGUUUAACCCGCCUAUAUACCGCCGUCGUCAGCUUACCCUGUGAAGGCCAAAUAGUAAGCAAAAAUGGCUAAGCCAAAAACGUCAGGUCGAGGUGUAGUGAAUGGGAUGGGAAGAAAUGGGCUACAUUCUCUGCCA